AGACUGCUGAGCUGUCACUGGACUGCGAGAGGAUUUGAUAGGCAGACGGGCUUUGUUUAGGGCCCACGUGACCCAUUAUACACCGAGUGUGCUGGCUGGCCCACGUAAUCACAAAGUAAACCACAUAAAACAAGUCAUCAAGCAGAGUCACUGCAGAUGAAUGAGCGAUCAAAGUUUACCAACUGUUGUUUUCGAUGAGCAAACACAGCAGCAUCCACACUUUGAAUCCAACUGGGGACCUUUGUUGUAUGUCAUCCCUCCACCUUUGACAUUUCCUGUCGCCUCACCUCUCUGAUUACGAAAGGCCCUACCUUAAGCCAGUGUUUGAUAUCAACAGGAAUAAGAAAACGGUACCACCAAACAACUAAAUGAAACCAGAAAUAUGAUGUGGAUCAACAACACAGUGUUUUCUAUA
Long non-coding RNA from Dicentrarchus labrax (European seabass), 415 nucleotides. RefSeq lists it as uncharacterized. The transcript has 3 exons. Lineage: Eukaryota; Metazoa; Chordata; Actinopteri; Moronidae. The record is from RefSeq and is a predicted model, not a curated record.